Molecule: long non-coding RNA, 641 nt
Organism: Girardinichthys multiradiatus
Lineage: Eukaryota; Metazoa; Chordata; Actinopteri; Cyprinodontiformes; Goodeidae
Exons: 2
Source: RefSeq, a predicted model, not a curated record
GUACAGACUUUUCUGGAACUUUCAAAAUAAAUUGCAUUAACCUACUUCUGGCACAGCCAGGGAAAGGGGUACUUCCCAUGAUUGUCAGAGUCUGGUUGCCUCUGUGCCUGCUGCUUCCUUUUUCCACCUCUAGGGGCUGUGGAGCUGGAGGACCGAAGGUGUGACAGGUGUUCUUCAUUGACUCAUCAGUUCAGAGGACUAUAUGAGGGCGGCUCACCUGCACUUCUGUGCCUGAGUGUUUUUGCCCUUCGUGGUAGUACUCCCUGGCCAUAUUACCUUGUAUCUUGUGAUUGUUUUAUGAGGAUUUUUACUAACAGUCUGUUUACCUUGUCUUAGGCACCUCAGCUCUGCUCCUUGUUUGGUAUCUCAAGAAAACCUCUGUUCACAGUCUGGACUCUGGAUUCAUUCCAUGCAGCGGACCGCCUUGGAUACCUCUCUGUCUGGUUAAGCGAACCCUGUCCACGCUCCUACGGUUCUUCCUGGAUCAUCAAGAAGCCCCAACGGAAUCAGAACUACCUCACUGUCCCAGAUUAGCAACAAUCUCCCUCCUGGCGGAUCGUUCCACCCGAAUAUCAGACGGCCUUCCUGGAAACUUCACUCCUUGUACAUUUCACAAAUUGUUAAUAAAUUCUUUAAACAUU